UCCGCAAUGGGCGAAAGCCUGACGGAGCAAUACCGCGUGAGGGAUGAAGGCCUAUGGGUUGUAAACCUCUUUUUUCAGGGAGGAAUCAAUGACGUGUACCUGAAGAAUAAGCAUCGGCUAACUCCGUGCCAGCAGCCGCGGUAAGACGGAGGAUGCAAGUGUUAUCCGGAAUCACUGGGCGUAAAGCGUCUGUAGGUGGUCAAAUAAGUCAACUGUUAAAUCUUGAGGCUCAACCUCAAAAUCGCAGUCGAAACUAUUAGACUAGAGUAUAGUAGGGGUAAAGGGAAUUUCCAGUGGAGCGGUGAAAUGCGUAGAGAUUGGAAAGAACACCGAUGGCGAAGGCACUUUACUGGGCUAUUACUAACACUCAGAGACGAAAGCUAGGGUAGCAAAUGGGAUUAGAUACCCC
This 409-nucleotide ribosomal RNA is filed under the name uncultured diatom. RNAcentral's name for it is "bacterial SSU rRNA". It matches the Rfam family "Bacterial small subunit ribosomal RNA", at positions 365 to 788 of the family's 1533-position model. The record is from RNAcentral. Lineage: Eukaryota; Bacillariophyta.